GAUGAACGCUGGCGGCGUGCUUAACACAUGCAAGUCGAACGGAAAGGCCCUGCUUGCAGGGUACUCGAGUGGCGAACGGGGGAGUAAAAUGCGUGUGAUCUGCUCUGUACGUUGGGAUAAGCCUGGGAAACUGGGUCUAAUACCGAAUAUGGCAAUUGUUUGGAUGCGAUGGUGGAAAGCUUUUGCGGUGUGGGAUGAGCUCGCGGCGUAUAAGCUUGUUUGUGGGGUAAUGGACUAUCAAGACGUCGAGGGGUAGCCGGCCUGCGAGGGUGUACGGACAGACCGGGACUCUGAUGCAGGCCAGAGUCGUACGUGUGGGAGAAGUGGGGAAUAUUUGACACAGCGAGCAAGCCUGAUGCAGCGAGGCCUUCUGGGUGAUGACCGCUUUUGGGUUGUAAGAACCUUUCGCAACCGACGAAGUCUUUUGGUGACGGUAGGUGGAGAAGAAGCACCGGCUAACUACGUG
Molecule: ribosomal RNA, 466 nt
Filed under: uncultured bacterium
Lineage: Bacteria
Description: partial 16S ribosomal RNA
Rfam family: Bacterial small subunit ribosomal RNA
Source: RNAcentral